AGUGAACGCUGGCGGCAGGCCUAACACAUGCAAGUCGAACGGUAGCACAGAGGAGCUUGCUCCUUGGGUGACGAGUGGCGGACGGGUGAGGAAUACAUCGGAAUCUACCCUGUCGUGGGGGAUAACGUAGGGAAACUUACGCUAAUACCGCAUACGAACUGAGGUUGAAAGCGGCGGACCGCAAGGCGUCGCGCGAUUGGAUGAGCCGAUGUCCGAUUAGCUAGUUGGCGGGGUAAAGGCCCACCAAGGCGACGAUCGGUAGCUGGUCUGAGAGGAUGAUCAGCCACACUGGAACUGAGACACGGUCCAGACUCCUACGGGAGGCAGCAGUGGGGAAUAUUGGACAAUGGGCGCAAGCCUGAUCCAGCCAUGCCGCGUGUGUGAAGAAGGCCUUCGGGUUGUAAAGCACUUUCAAUUGGGAAGAAAAGAACAAAAUUAAUACUUUUGUUCCUUGACGGUACCAAUACAAGAAGCACCGGCUAACUCCGUG
Molecule: ribosomal RNA, 490 nt
Filed under: uncultured Gammaproteobacteria bacterium
Lineage: Bacteria; Pseudomonadati; Pseudomonadota; Gammaproteobacteria
Description: bacterial SSU rRNA
Rfam family: Bacterial small subunit ribosomal RNA
Source: RNAcentral